This 62-nucleotide microRNA precursor is filed under the name Danio rerio (zebrafish). RNAcentral's name for it is "Dre-Mir-1-P1_pre stem-loop". It matches the Rfam family "mir-1 microRNA precursor family", at positions 10 to 70 of the family's 79-position model. From Rfam's summary of the family: This family represents the microRNA (miRNA) mir-1 family. miRNAs are transcribed as ~70nt precursors (modelled here) and subsequently processed by the Dicer enzyme to give a ~22nt product. The record is from RNAcentral. Lineage: Eukaryota; Metazoa; Chordata; Actinopteri; Cypriniformes; Danionidae.
ACAUACUUCUUUAUGUGCCCAUAUGAACAUAUAAAAGCUAUGGAAUGUAAAGAAGUAUGUAU